RNAcentral lists this ribosomal RNA (294 nucleotides) under Triticum aestivum (bread wheat). RNAcentral's name for it is "partial small subunit ribosomal RNA". It matches the Rfam family "Eukaryotic large subunit ribosomal RNA", at positions 1890 to 2184 of the family's 3401-position model. The record is from RNAcentral. Lineage: Eukaryota; Viridiplantae; Streptophyta; Magnoliopsida; Poales; Poaceae.
AUGGAACAAUGUAGGCAAGGGAAGUCAGCAAAACGGAUCCGUAACUUCAGGAAAAGGAUUGGCUCUGAGGAAUGGGCUCGGGGGUCCCGGCCCACCCGUCGGCUGUCGACGGAUUGCUCGAGCUGCUCACGCGGCGAGAGCGGGUCGCCGCGUGCCGGCCGGGGAUGGACCGGGAAUCGCCCCUUCGGCGGUCAUUCCCCGAGCAUGAAACAGUCGACUCGGAACUGGUACGGACAAGGGGAAUCCAACUGUUUAAUUAAAACAAAGCAUUGCGAUGGUCCUCGCGGAUGCUGA